AUUGAACGCUGGCGGCAGGCUUAACACAUGCAAGUCGAGCGAGCGGCGGACGGGUGAGUAAUGUCUGGGACACUGCCUGAUGGAUGGGGAUACCUACUGGAAACGGUAGCUACUACCGCAUACCAUCAGAUGUGCCCAGAUGGGAUUAGUUAGUAGGUGGGGUCAUGGCUCACCUAGGCGACGAUCCAUAGCUGGUCUGAGAGGAUGACCAGCCACUCUGGAAAUGAUACACGGCCCAGAUGCCUACGGGAGGCAGCAGUGGGGAAUAUUGCACAAUGGGCGGAAGCCUGAUGCAGCCAUGCCGCGUGUGUGAAGAAGGCCUUCGGGUUGUAAAGCACUUUCAGCGAGGAGGCGUUACUCGCAGAAGAAGCACCGGCUAACUCCGUGCCAGCAGCCGCGGUAAUUC
This 406-nucleotide ribosomal RNA is filed under the name uncultured bacterium. Its description in RNAcentral is "partial 16S ribosomal RNA". It matches the Rfam family "Bacterial small subunit ribosomal RNA", at positions 30 to 526 of the family's 1533-position model. The record is from RNAcentral.